CCAGCUUCUCCAACGCCAGUGGAUUUUUGCAUCAACAGGAUUGGCGCUAGAGGAAAGGUCGGCUGUGUCUUCACAGUACCCUUGUUCUUAAAGGAGUACUCAAUGGGACCAUCUCCAAUCAUCUUCUCCGACAUCUCCUCCUCCGGUUGCCUGCCUGAUCUCCACUUGAUGCCUCCCUGAAGGGCAUCCACCAGGCGGUCAAUGGCCUCCAUAGCCAGAUCUUAGCGAGCUCCGCAAGCCCCAGCCUCAUCUUCGAUUUCCCCGACUCCUCCUCCGACGACGACGGUAGUCAGCAUAGAGCAGUUUGACCUGUUGGUUCAACAGGUCAGAGGCCUCAUCGAAGCAGUGCAGGCCAUGCAACAGCAGUCGCGGGCAUCGGUGCGGC
Molecule: long non-coding RNA, 385 nt
Filed under: Elaeis guineensis (African oil palm)
Lineage: Eukaryota; Viridiplantae; Streptophyta; Magnoliopsida; Arecales; Arecaceae
Description: long non-coding RNA (EGUI_LNC073011)
Source: RNAcentral